GUAAUUAUGUUAGGAGAGAUUCUCAGUUUGAUCUAAUCCUGUCUAAACAGGCUGAAAGAAGUUAGUCACUCAGAAUUAUAUAAAAGGCUCCAUGGAGGCUUGCAAUGAUAAACAACAGACCCUGGAGUUUGGGGACAACACCAAGGUACUGCCAUACUUGAGGAAGAGAUGGCUUUUCUCAGCCAAUAUCGUACUGAAUAGGUAAAACCUGGAAGCAGUCCCUUUAAAAACUGGCACAAGACAAGGAUGUCCUCUCUCACCACUCCUAUUCAACAUAGUAUUGGAAGCUCUGGCCAGAGCAAUCAGCCAAUCUUUGCAGAUUAAGGUACUGCAAAAAUCAUGAGCAGAAGACUUUAUGCCAUUGAAUGCCAUUGAGACUGUCAAUGUAACUAAGGACAGCUGUUUGUUUUUUUUCUGCUUUUACAUGGGCCAGUAUCAACUAAAGAUUGUCAAUUUUUAAGACCUUACUUAAGGAUGCAAUGAUUAGUAAAGAAAAUUCAACAAU
This 505-nucleotide long non-coding RNA is filed under the name Pongo abelii (Sumatran orangutan). RNAcentral describes it as "lincRNA". The record is from RNAcentral. Lineage: Eukaryota; Metazoa; Chordata; Mammalia; Primates; Hominidae.